GACGAACGCUGGCGGCGUGCCUAAUACAUGCAAGUCGAGCGAAGGGUUUCUGGUGCUUGCACCGGAAAGAUUUAGGGGCGAAGGGGAGUGAAACAUGUAAAGAACAUGCAUCAUAGACGGGGACAACCAUGGGAAAGGAGAUCAAAUAGCGUAUAAUAUCAUUCACUGCGGGUCAGAAGUUUAAAAGGUGGUUUUGCUCACAUUAAGAGAUGGCUUUGCGGUGCAUUAGCUAGUUGGUGGGGUAAAGGCCUACCAAGGCGACGAUGCAUAGCCGACCUGAGAGGGUGAUCGGCCACACUGGAACUGAGACACGGCCCAGACUCCUACGGGAGGCAGCAGUAGGGAAUCUUCCGCAAUGGGCGAAAGCCUGACGGAGCAACGCCGCGUGAGUGAAGAAGGACUUCGGUUCGUAAAGCUCUGUUGUUAGGGAAGAAUGAUUGUGUAGGAACCAGACACAAUAGUGACGGUACCUAAUCAGAAAGCCACGGCUAACUACGUG
Molecule: ribosomal RNA, 499 nt
Filed under: uncultured bacterium
Lineage: Bacteria
Description: partial 16S ribosomal RNA
Rfam family: Bacterial small subunit ribosomal RNA
Source: RNAcentral